GCCCUUGAGAAGCUGUCUUAAACCAUUGCAGUCCAUUUGCUGCAGGUCCACCCAUGGUACCAAUUGGAUUUAACUUAGCGACAGCGAAGGAAUGGAGAUACAUUUCCAAGUCUGGACAGUGGCUUGGAGAAAAUAAUGCCUGACAUGUGAGUUUAACACUGAAGAAACAACACCAAAGUACAGCCGUUCAAACUGGACAAAUGGCAGAUAAAGGCUUAAUAACAAAUUAAGAAGAUGUUAAAAUGAAUAUUCACAGACCCUCUGUUACAGAUUAUAGUGAAGACAACACACUCUUUCCCUCAAUGGCAACAAAAGAAACAAGCUGGUCAUCGAUUUCAGGAAGCUGAGCGAAGGACACCGACAAUCUGUUCUGGUCCAUCCACUUUGGUGCUAAAGUCAAGAAAGAAUGCUAUUGCCUCUACUUCCUCAAAAGGCUAACGAAAUUUGACAAGUGCACAAUGACUCUUAUCAAUUUUCAUAAAUGCACUGUGGAAAGCAUCUUAACUGGAUGCAUCACAGCUUGAUAUGGCAACUGCUUUGCCUAAGACCGCAGGAAACUACGGAGUUGUGAAUGCAGCCAAGCCCAUCACAAAAACAAUCCUUCUUUCCACUGACUCCAUCUGUACUUCCUGCUGCCUUUGCAAAGCAGCCAGCAUUACCAAAGGCCCAUUCUCACCCUUCAUCAUGUCGAAGAUACAAAAGUUUCAAAAUGCCUACCAACAGAUUCAAGAGCAGCUUCUUCCCACUAUUGUCAGAUUUAUGAAUGGGCCUUUCAUUUAUCAGAAUUCAUCUUGCUUUGCACCUUCUCUAUAGCGAGAAUACUAUAUUUUCCAUGGUAUUCUAUUAUCUUGAUGUGCUUAUGCAAGGUAUGAUUUGUCUUGAAAGCACGUAUAACAAUACUUUCCACUGUAUA
Long non-coding RNA from Stegostoma tigrinum, 913 nucleotides. RefSeq lists it as uncharacterized. The transcript has 3 exons. The record is from RefSeq and is a predicted model, not a curated record. NCBI's taxonomy places the organism in Eukaryota, Metazoa, Chordata, Chondrichthyes, Orectolobiformes, Stegostomatidae.